RNAcentral lists this ribosomal RNA (429 nucleotides) under uncultured bacterium. RNAcentral's name for it is "bacterial SSU rRNA". It matches the Rfam family "Bacterial small subunit ribosomal RNA", at positions 355 to 775 of the family's 1533-position model. The record is from RNAcentral.
UCGAGAAUCAUUCGCAAUGAGCGAAAGCCUGACGGUGCGACGUCGCGUGGAGGAUGAAGGCCUUCGGAUUGUAAACUCCUGUCAUGUGGGAUAAAUGGCCGGGGCACGAAUAGUGCCUCGGAAUGAUAGUACCACAGGAGGAAGAGACGGCUAACUAUGUGCCAGCAGCCGCGGUAAUACAGAGGUCUCGAGCGUUGUUCGGAUUUACUGGGCGUAAAGGGAGCGUAGGCGGUUCGGUAUGUCGAAUGUGAAAGCCCACAACUCAACUGUGGAAAUGCAUUCGAAACUGCCGGGCUAGAGUACUGGAGAGGAGAGCGGAAUUCUUGGUGUAGCGGUGAAAUGCGUAGAUAUCAAGAGGAACACCGGUGGCGAAGGCGGCUCUCUGGACAGAUACUGACGCUGAGGCUCUAAAGUUAGGGGAGCAAACAG